AGUUCUCGUUGAUGAUCGGUGCUUGCACCGAGAUCCAACACUCCAUCGAGUGGCGGACGGGUGAGUAACACGUGGGUAACCUGCCCUUAAGUGGGGGAUAACAUUUGGAAACAGAUGCUAAUACCGCAUAGAUCCAAGAACCGCAUGGUUCUUGGCUGAAAGAUGGCGUAAGCUAUCGCUUUUGGAUGGACCCGCGGCGUAUUAGCUAGUUGGUGAGGUAAUGGCUCACCAAGGCGAUGAUACGUAGCCGAACUGAGAGGUUGAUCGGCCACAUUGGGACUGAGACACGGCCCAAACUCCUACGGGAGGCAGCAGUAGGGAAUCUUCCACAAUGGACGCAAGUCUGAUGGAGCAACGCCGCGUGAGUGAAGAAGGCUUUCGGGUCGUAAAACUCUGUUGUUGGAGAAGAAUGGUCGGCAGAGUAACUGUUGUCGGCGUGACGGUAUCCAACCAGAAAGCCACGGCUAACUACGUGCCAGCAGCCGCGGUAAUACGUAGGUGGCAAGCGUUAUCCGGAUUUAUUGGGCGUAAAGCGAGCGCAGGCGGUUUUUUAAGUCUGAUGUGAAAGCCCUCGGCUUAACCGAGGAAGCGCAUCGGAAACUGGGAAACUUGAGUGCAGAAGAGGACAGUGGAACUCCAUGUGUAGCGGUGAAAUGCGUAGAUAUAUGGAAGAACACCAGUGGCGAAGGCGGCUGUCUGGUCUGUAACUGACGCUGAGGCUCGAAAGCAUGGGUAGCGAACAGGAUUA
Molecule: ribosomal RNA, 748 nt
Filed under: uncultured bacterium
Lineage: Bacteria
Description: bacterial SSU rRNA
Rfam family: Bacterial small subunit ribosomal RNA
Source: RNAcentral